UACAGAGGGGGCAAGCGUUGUUCGGAAUUACUGGGCGUAAAGGGCGCGUAGGCGGCCUUCUAAGUCGGACGUGAAAUCCCUCGGCUUAACCGGGGAACUGCGUCCGAUACUGGAUGACUUGAGUUCGGGAGAGGGAUGCGGAAUUCCAGGUGUAGCGGUGAAAUGCGUAGAUAUCUGGAGGAACACCGGUGGCGAAGGCGGCAUCCUGGACCGACACUGACGCUGAGGAGCGAAAGCCAGGGGAGCAAACGGG
RNAcentral lists this ribosomal RNA (253 nucleotides) under uncultured bacterium. Its description in RNAcentral is "partial 16S ribosomal RNA". It matches the Rfam family "Bacterial small subunit ribosomal RNA", at positions 524 to 776 of the family's 1533-position model. The record is from RNAcentral.